GUUUCUGCCAGCCACAUGCCGCACAUGCGGCCAUUGCCGGCUCACGUAGGUUCGUUCGCGUGGUCUUGUUACGCCUCGCUGGAUCGUGUUCAGUCAUGCCGUCCUUGCGCGGCGUGAUUGUCGGUGAGUCAGGUUAAAUUCUUAAAUAGGUCGCGCCUGCGCCUAAUUGAGUCUAUAAAAGCCUGCACAUUCAGUUUUGCUAGCUACAAUGCAGUGCGGCUGGCGUGAGCUGUCUCCACGAUGCGCUUCGAGCGUGUCGAUUUCGCCGUUCUUUAUGUUGGCGUUAACGACCUUGAAAGCAACAUGGAUCCACAAGAAAUGUGCGACAACAUCAAGGCCUUGAUUGUUCAACGAGACGGCCCCCGUCGUGCUGGUUUUCAAGGUGCUCCCUCGCUGCCUAGAAGAUGCUGAUGCGGAAUAGAAAAUGCAAAAACGUCGCUUGCUCAACCGCAAAUUGACGGCUACGCUGAAGCGCAUGCCGUGUCUGCGGAAUUUGAACCCCGAGCUUUCCAGAGUUCCUUGGAAAAUCCUCCCAUGCACCUGCCAUGUACAUUGCCCUCCUCCUCGAUGUGGCGUGCAAGAUGGCAGCAGCAGCUGUGGGAACAGUUGAAGAGGCGAAGAAAGGUCCACUUUAUAAUAGGUUCUAUGUAAAUAAAACUGAUCGACCUCAA
RNAcentral lists this long non-coding RNA (671 nucleotides) under Dermacentor andersoni. RNAcentral's name for it is "uncharacterized LOC126534354". The record is from RNAcentral. Lineage: Eukaryota; Metazoa; Arthropoda; Arachnida; Ixodida; Ixodidae.